CCUACGGGAGGCAGCAGUGAGGAAUAUUGGUCAAUGGCCGGAAGGCUGAACCAGCCAAGCCGCGUGAAGGACGAAGGUGCCAAGCAUUGUAAACUUCUUUUGUCAAGGGACAAAAUCAGGCUCGAGAGCCUGACCGAGGGUACUUGAAGAAAAAGCAUCGGCUAACUCCGUGCCAGCAGCCGCGGUAAUACGGAGGAUGCGAGCGUUAUCCGGAUUUAUUGGGUUUAAAGGGUGCGUAGGCGGACUGUUAAGUCAGCGGUAAAAGCCCGGGGCUCAACCCCGGCGAGCCGUUGAUAAUGGCAGUCUUGAGAUGUCUAGAGGUAUGCGGAAUGCGCAGUGUAGCGGUGAAAUGCUUAGAUAUUGCGCAGAACUCCGAUUGCGAAGGCAGCAUACCGGCGUCGAUCUGACGCUGAGGCACGAAAGCGUGGGUAUCGAACAGGAUUAGAUACCCCUGUAGUC
This 459-nucleotide ribosomal RNA is filed under the name uncultured bacterium. RNAcentral's name for it is "partial 16S ribosomal RNA". It matches the Rfam family "Bacterial small subunit ribosomal RNA", at positions 338 to 795 of the family's 1533-position model. The record is from RNAcentral.